RNAcentral lists this ribosomal RNA (423 nucleotides) under uncultured bacterium. RNAcentral describes it as "bacterial SSU rRNA". It matches the Rfam family "Bacterial small subunit ribosomal RNA", at positions 357 to 772 of the family's 1533-position model. The record is from RNAcentral.
GGGAAUUUUGGACAAUGGGCGCAAGCCUGAUCCAGCAAUGCCGCGUGCAGGAUGAAGGCCUUCGGGUUGUAAACUGCUUUUGUACGGAACGAAACGGCUCUCUCUAAUACGGGGGGCUAAUGACGGUACCGUAAGCAUAAGCACCGGCUAACUACGUGCCAGCAGCCGCGGUAAUACGUAGGGUGCGAGCGUUAAUCGGAAUUACUGGGCGUAAAGCGUGCGCAGGCGGUUAUGUAAGACAGAUGUGAAAUCCCCGGGCUCAACCUGGGACCUGCAUUUGUGACUGCAUAGCUAGAGUACGGUAGAGGGGGAUGGAAUUCCGCGUGUAGCAGUGAAAUGCGUAGAUAUGCGGAGGAACACCGAUGGCGAAGGCAAUCCCCUGGACCUGUACUGACGCUCAUGCACGAAAGCGUGGGGAGCAAA